RNAcentral lists this ribosomal RNA (425 nucleotides) under uncultured bacterium. RNAcentral describes it as "bacterial SSU rRNA". It matches the Rfam family "Bacterial small subunit ribosomal RNA", at positions 356 to 773 of the family's 1533-position model. The record is from RNAcentral.
GGGGAAUAUUGCACAAUGGGGGAAACCCUGAUGCAGCCAUGCCGCGUGUGUGAAGAAGGCCUUCGGGUUGUAAAGCACUUUCAGCGAGGAGGAAAGGUCAGUAGCUAAUACCUGCUGGCUGUGACGUUACUCGCAGAAGAAGCACCGGCUAACUCCGUGCCAGCAGCCGCGGUAAUACGGAGGGUGCAAGCGUUAAUCGGAAUUACUGGGCGUAAAGCGCACGCAGGCGGUUGGAUAAGUUAGAUGUGAAAGCCCCGGGCUCAACCUGGGAAUUGCAUUUAAAACUGUCCAGCUAGAGUCUUGUAGAGGGGGGUAGAAUUCCAGGUGUAGCGGUGAAAUGCGUAGAGAUCUGGAGGAAUACCGGUGGCGAAGGCGGCCCCCUGGACAAAGACUGACGCUCAGGUGCGAAAGCGUGGGGAGCAAAC